AUGGCUGUCGUCAGCUCGUGCCGUGAGGUGUUGCCUUAAGUGGCGCAACGAGCGCAACCCCUGUCCUUAGUUGCCAGCGGAUCAUGCCGGGAACUCUAGGGAGACUGCCGGUGCCAAACCGGAGGAAGGUGGGGAUGACGUCAAGUCAGCAUGCCCCUUAUAUCCAGGGCUGCACGCAUGCUACAAUGCGCGAUACAAAGGGCUGCGAUCCCGUAAGGGGGAGCGAAUCCCAAAAAGUCGCGCUCAGUUCGGAUCGAGGUCUGCAACUCGACCUCGUGAAGUCGGAGUCGCUAGUAAUCGCAGAUCAGCAAUGCUGCGGUGAAUACGUUCCCGGGCCUUGUACACACCGCCCGUCACACCACGAAAGUGGGCAACACCCGAAGCCGGUGGCCUAACCCUUGUGGAGGGAGCCGUCGAAGGUGGGGCUCGCGAUUGGGGUGAAGUCGUAACAAGGUAGCCGUACCGGAAGGUGCGGCUGGAUCACCUCCUUUCUGGAGCGAUGAGUAGAGCGCGUCCUCGGCUGGCAACAGCUCAGGCGAUCCCCUCGAAAAUCCUCAAGAAUUGUCGCUCGACUCGUACAACUCCUCUCUUCGAUCUCGAUUGCUCAACGGCACGGCGCAUAGGCCCAUCAGGGACAACUCUGAUGGGCCUGUGUCGCCACCCAUGCUGUUUGACAACGGAAGUUGGUGUAGAUCGUGGGAAGCGAAUCAUCACAUUGACGACAAUUUCGUUUUUGUUUUUUUGUUGUUAGUUCUGAUAGAAACGCGCGUGCUCUGCUUGCUACGAACUAUGUAGUCAAGCGAGCGAAGGCAUGUGGAGGAUGCCUGGGCACACGGAGGCGAGGAAGGCCGCGGUAAGCUGCGAUAAGCCAGGGGGAGCGGCACACACGCACUGAUCCCUGGAUGGCCGAAUGGGGAAACCCGG
This 924-nucleotide small RNA is filed under the name uncultured Actinomycetales bacterium. Its description in RNAcentral is "bacterial SSU rRNA". The stretch from base 1 to 491 matches the Rfam family "Bacterial small subunit ribosomal RNA", at positions 1045 to 1533 of the family's 1533-position model. The record is from RNAcentral. Lineage: Bacteria; Bacillati; Actinomycetota; Actinomycetes; Actinomycetales.